This 306-nucleotide long non-coding RNA is filed under the name Populus tremula. RNAcentral's name for it is "long non-coding RNA (PTRE_LNC001540)". The record is from RNAcentral. Lineage: Eukaryota; Viridiplantae; Streptophyta; Magnoliopsida; Malpighiales; Salicaceae.
CAUCUCUCCUUGUGAAAGAAUAUGAUUAGUGACGCGUGCCUCUGCCUGGGAGCAAAAGUCUCAGUACUUCCUUGAUACUUGAACAACAGCAACAUCAAUCUCCUUCAAAUGGUGAAGCUUCCACAUGUGUCGGGAGAGAAGGCAGCAGCAAAGCCUUUGCAAGAGGCAGCACCUGUAGCUUUGCCCAGCCAAAAUACAUGAUCCAGGACCAUCUUCAUGCAUAAUACAUGUAAAGGCUGUUUGAAGCAGCACAGGCAAGUGAGUUUUCAGUUGGAUGCCAUGCUAGAUGCAACAACUUCGUUGUGA